AAAGUAAUUUUAAUAGAAAAAAUUAAAAGUUUUAUAGUGUAAUAGUAUUGUAAAAGAUUUUUGAAAUAUAUGAAAAUGAAAUUGAUUAAAAGUAAUUUUUAUUUAAUGUAUCUUGUGUAUCAGAGUUUAUUAAAAAAUAUUCUUUGAUGGAUAGAAAUUCUCGAAUUUAAGAGAGAUAAUUAAUUAAAAAAGUUAUUGUAAUAUAAAUAUUUUUAAUAAUUAAUUGGAAAUGAAAUGUUAAAUCGUUCUUAAAUAUAUCUAGUUUUUUUAGAAAAAAAUUUAAUUUUAAAUUUAUUUUUUUUUUUAUAAAUUAAUUAAUUAAUUUAUAAAAAAAUAAAUUUUAUAUUUUAAGGGAUAAGCUUUAAUUUAAAUAAAUAUAAUUAAUUAAUUUAAUUUUUAUUUUGAAAAUUAUAUAAUUUAUAUUGUUAAUAAAUUUUAAUUUAUUAUAAAUAAUUUCAAUAAUAAAAUAAAAUUUAAUUAAAAAUUUAAAAAUUUAUAAAAAAAAAAUUUUUAAUAAUAAAAAUUUAGUUAUAAUGAUAAAAUUAGUAUAUAAAUAGAAAAAAAGGAUGAAUUUUAAGUUAAUUAAUUAAAAGGAAUUCGGCAAAAAUUUAUGUUCACUUGUUUAACAAAAACAUGUCUUUUUGAAAAUAAUAUAAAGUCUAAUCUGCCCACUGAUUUUAAUAAUUGAAGGGCUGCAGUAUAUUGACUGUACAAAGGUAGCAUAAUCAUUAGUCAUUUAAUUGAUGACUUGUAUGAAAGAUUGGAUGAAAUAUAAACUGUCUCUUAAAUUAAUUUAUAGAAUUUAAUUUUUUAAUUAAAAAGUUAAAAUAAUUUAAAAAGACGAGAAGACCCUAUAGAGUUUUAUAUUUUAUAAAAUUUAAAUUAUUUAUAAAAUUAAAAAUUUUAAUUUUAUAAAAUAUUUUAUUGGGGUGAUAGAAAAAUUAAAAAAACUUUUUUUAAAAAAAUCCAUAUAUAAGUGAAUAAAUGAUCCAAUAGUAUUGAUUAUAAGAAAAAAUUACCUUAGGGAUAACAGCGUAAUUUUUUUUUUUAGUUCAAAUAAAAAAAAGAGUUUGCGACCUCGAUGUUGGAUUAAGAUAAAAUUUAAAUGCAGAAGUUUAAAAUUUUGAUCUGUUCGAUCAUUAAAAUCUUACAUGAUCUGAGUUCAAACCGGUGUAAGCCAGGUUGGUUUCUAUCUUUUAAAAAAUAAAAUAUUUUAGUACGAAAGGAUUAAAUAUUUAAAUUAAAUUUAUUUUAUUGAAUUUUAUUA
RNAcentral lists this ribosomal RNA (1267 nucleotides) under Erebus caprimulgus. Its description in RNAcentral is "16S ribosomal RNA". The record is from RNAcentral. Lineage: Eukaryota; Metazoa; Arthropoda; Insecta; Lepidoptera; Erebidae.